UAGGGAAUCUUCGGCAAUAGGGGGAACCCUGACCGAGCAACGCCGCGUGAGUGAAGAAGGUUUUCGGAUCGUAAAGCUCUGUUGUUAAGGAAGAACGAGUGUGAGAAUGGAAAGUUCAUACUGUGACGGUACUUAACCAGAAAGGGACGGCUAACUACGUGCCAGCAGCCGCGGUAAUACGUAGGUCCCGAGCGUUGUCCGGAUUUAUUGGGCGUAAAGCGAGCGCAGGCGGUUAGAUAAGUCUGAAGUUAAAGGCAGUGGCUCAACCAUUGUAGGCUUUGGAAACUGUUUAACUUGAGUGCAGAAGGGGAGAGUGGAAUUCCAUGUGUAGCGGUGAAAUGCGUAGAUAUAUGGAGGAACACCGGUGGCGAAAGCGGCUCUCUGGUCUGUAACUGACGCUGAGGCUCGAAAGCGUGGGGAGCGAACAGG
RNAcentral lists this ribosomal RNA (429 nucleotides) under Bacteroidota bacterium. RNAcentral describes it as "Bacteroidetes bacterium partial 16S ribosomal RNA". It matches the Rfam family "Bacterial small subunit ribosomal RNA", at positions 355 to 776 of the family's 1533-position model. Lineage: Bacteria; Pseudomonadati; Bacteroidota. The record is from RNAcentral.